ACUCGAGUGGCGAACGGGUGAGUAACACGUGGGUGAUCUGCCCUGCACUUCGGGAUAAGCCUGGGAAACUGGGUCUAAUACCGGAUAGGAGCCAUUUUUAGUGUGAUGGUUGGAAAGUUUUUCGGUGUAGGAUGAGCUCGCGGCCUAUCAGCUUGUUGGUGGGGUAAUGGCCUACCAAGGCGGCGACGGGUAGCCGGCCUGAGAGGGUGACCGGCCACAUUGGGACUGAGAUACGGCCCAG
Molecule: ribosomal RNA, 241 nt
Filed under: uncultured Actinomycetales bacterium
Lineage: Bacteria; Bacillati; Actinomycetota; Actinomycetes; Actinomycetales
Description: partial 16S ribosomal RNA
Rfam family: Bacterial small subunit ribosomal RNA
Source: RNAcentral